Molecule: ribosomal RNA, 582 nt
Filed under: uncultured bacterium
Lineage: Bacteria
Description: bacterial SSU rRNA
Rfam family: Bacterial small subunit ribosomal RNA
Source: RNAcentral
AGAGUUUGAUCCUGGCUCAGGAUGAACGCUAGCGGCAGGCUUAAUACAUGCAAGUCGAGGGGCAGCGGGAGUAGCAAUACUUGCCGGCGACCGGCGCACGGGUGCGUAACACGUAUACAAUCUGCCUCCAACAUGGGGAUAGCCCGGAGAAAUUCGGAUUAAUACCCAGUAACAAAUGAUAUGGCAUCAUAUUAUUUUGAAAGCUACGGCGGUUGGAGAUGAGUAUGCGUCUGAUUAGUUAGUUGGUGAGGUAACGGCUCACCAAGACCACGAUCAGUAGGGGAUCUGAGAGGACUCCCCCCCACACUGGUACUGAGACACGGACCACACUCCUACGGGAGGCAGCAGUAAGGAAUAUUGGACAAUGCCCGCAAGGGUGAUCCAGCCAUGCCGCGUGCAAGAAGACGGCCCUAUGGGUUGUAAACUGCUUUUGAACUAGAGAAAAUCCUUCUACGUGUAGAAAGGCUGAUAGUAUAGUUAGAAUAAGCAUCGGCUAACUUCGUGCCAGCAGCCGCGGUAAGACGAAGGAUGCAAGCGUUAUCCGGAUUCAUUGGGUUUAGAGGGUGCGUACGCGGCCAGAUA